Telopea speciosissima is the source of this 151-nucleotide long non-coding RNA. RefSeq lists it as uncharacterized. The record is from RefSeq and is a predicted model, not a curated record. The transcript has 3 exons. NCBI's taxonomy places the organism in Eukaryota, Viridiplantae, Streptophyta, Magnoliopsida, Proteales, Proteaceae.
UCGUCGGAGAUGUUGUGGGUGUUUUGAAUGCGAAUCCAAACGCAAGAGGAAGGGUCGAAAGCGAAGGCGGAGGUGAGGGAAUGGUUGCGAUGAUGAAGGGCGUAGACUAUGAACCAGGGCUUGAGACGAGGAGAGAUGAGGAGGGAGGUGG